Caerostris darwini is the source of this 73-nucleotide non-coding RNA. Lineage: Eukaryota; Metazoa; Arthropoda; Arachnida; Araneae; Araneidae. The record is from the annotation of a GenBank genome assembly.
UCACAUGUGGUCUAGUGGUUGCGAUUCCUGGCUUUUACCUAUGUGGCCCGGGGUUCGAUUCCCGGCGUGGGAG